GACUCUAUGGUGCAGGACUGAUAUGUCUACUUUACAUGCAGAAGGUCCUGGGUUCGAGUCCCAGUGGAGCCA
RNAcentral lists this transfer RNA (72 nucleotides) under Apaloderma vittatum (bar-tailed trogon). It matches the Rfam family "tRNA". Rfam says of the family: Transfer RNA (tRNA) molecules are approximately 80 nucleotides in length. Their secondary structure includes four short double-helical elements and three loops (D, anti-codon, and T loops). Further hydrogen bonds mediate the characteristic L-shaped molecular structure. tRNAs have two regions of fundamental functional importance: the anti-codon, which is responsible for specific mRNA codon recognition, and the 3' end, to which the tRNAs corresponding amino acid is attached (by aminoacyl-tRNA synthetases). tRNAs cope with the degeneracy of the genetic code in two manners: having more than one tRNA (with a specific anti-codon) for a particular amino acid; and 'wobble' base-pairing, i.e. permitting non-standard base-pairing at the 3rd anti-codon position. Lineage: Eukaryota; Metazoa; Chordata; Aves; Trogoniformes; Trogonidae. The record is from Rfam by way of RNAcentral.